Mauremys mutica (yellowpond turtle) is the source of this 1265-nucleotide long non-coding RNA. RefSeq lists it as uncharacterized. The transcript is spliced from 3 exons. NCBI's taxonomy places the organism in Eukaryota, Metazoa, Chordata, Testudines, Geoemydidae. The record is from RefSeq and is a predicted model, not a curated record.
AUUUGGUUGUCAUGGUUUUUGUUCCUAUGGCAACUGAGUUAGAUUAUUAGGGGAUAGCCCAGCCAGCUUGAGCUGGUCAGGUGAGCUCCGUGUCUGUAAAUAAAUGGUAGCUUUGUUAGCUGUCUGCUCUCUGGCCUCAAGUAAUUUCUUCCUAAACUGGCUGCCCCCAAGAAUAUAACAGAAAGCAAUCUACAAAGCCAGCAAGCUUGGUGUGAAGAUGCCUAAACCAGCCAAUAGGGGAUUCUGACAAGAGGGGUGUAUUCUAAGGCCCGCCCCACUCAGAAUUUGGUGCUUAUCUCCACUUGUAAUCCACAGACAGGGGAAAGUUAGGCAGGUAAAAAUCUGGUCUUUCUUGUGGGGCCUCAGAGGCAGUUUAACUCCACAAGUAACACCUGGAGUGGUAGAGAAGCAAGGACAAUGGGUCUGAUACAAGGAUCUGUCACCUCUCAGGGGUAAGGUGCUGUAUCCCUGAAGUGACCAUUUUGCAUCCAGGUGCUAUGAGGUUCAUCUUCUCCCUUCCAGCUGAUCUCAAAGGACUUUACAAAGGAAGAAAAGCAUCUUUUUAAAGAUGGAGAAACAGAGGCUAGCCUGAAGUCACACAGCAGAUGAGGGAGAUAGCCAGUAAUAGAACCUAGGUUUCCUGAUUCCUAAGCCAGUUCUCUAGCCACUAGACAACACUGUCUUCUCUGUAAGGUCUCCUUUAAGCAUUAUUAUUUUAUGGUCCAAAAAGCCCCCAAGCCCCUCUUUCUUCCAAAAAACAAUAAGAGCAGGUUAUUAGGAGUUAAGGGCUUGGGUUUUAUUCCUGCCACUGUGAGGUUUUGGGCAAGCUACUUAGGUCAUAAGUUUCAAAGUAUCCCGUGUGUGUGCUUUUGAAAAUAUAGCCCUUAUUCUCUGUGUCAUGGUUUCUCCAUUUUUAAAAUGAGGUUCAUAGACCUGCCCACUUUAGUCACAGGCUCUGAGCUCAUCAGAUGAAUAGCAUGUUGUAAGUACAAAGUAAGUCAUGAUGUUACCAUAUCACUGUGAUAUUUCAGAAAUAGUAACUCUUCUAUUUUAUCACAUCGUUACUAAGGAUUCACAGCAUUUCAUCAGGCACCUUGUAUAAUAUUCUGUGGGUGAUGUCUUGUAGCAGAAGGACAUGGAAAGCAAUGAGACUGGCAGAAGAGGCAGGAAGUUAUAACUUUUAUCAGUCUUGUGGCUGUGUGAAUAACCCAGAUAUGAAUAGGUUCUAGCAAAACUAAGCACCUAUGUAUAGUGUUCCAACUCAU